This 69-nucleotide transfer RNA is filed under the name Pseudomyrmex peperi. Its description in RNAcentral is "tRNA-Met". Lineage: Eukaryota; Metazoa; Arthropoda; Insecta; Hymenoptera; Formicidae. The record is from RNAcentral.
AAAUAAGUAAGCUAAACUAACAAGCUUUUAGGUUCAUACCCUAAAUAUAGAGCCGAAAUCUCUUAUUUA